GUUCUUCAGCUCUGGAGAUUUAAGAGAGAAUCGGAGGGUUCCUGGAAGAGAGACGUGAUCCUCUGGAUUCCCACCAUGGCCUGGGCCCCUCUGCUCCUCUCGCUGCUUACUUACUGCAUUGGUUUCAGUUCCCAGCAACUCCAGUCGCUGAAGGCGUCCGAGUUCGUGUCUCCUGGAGGGACCGUGACCCUCUCCUGCAGCCUGAGCAGUGGAGCCAUCGGUGAUGGCAACUACCCGUUCUGGAUUCAACAGAGACUGGGGAAUGUUCCUCGGCUGAUCAUGCACACUACGAGUACCAGGCCCUCGGGGAUCCCAGAGCGUUUCACUGGCUCCAGAUCGGGUAACACCAUGUCCUUGACCAUCACGGGGGCCCUGGCGGAGGAUGAUGCUGAUUAUUACU
This is a non-coding RNA of Chrysemys picta bellii (western painted turtle), 400 nucleotides long. The record is from the annotation of a RefSeq genome assembly. NCBI's taxonomy places the organism in Eukaryota, Metazoa, Chordata, Testudines, Emydidae.